AAUAGAUACCCCGGUAGUCCACGCCGUAAACGAUGAGUGCUAAGUGUUAGAGGGUUUCCGCCCUUUAGUGCUGCAGCUAACGCAUUAAGCACUCCGCCUGGGGAGUACGGCCGCAAGGCUGAAACUCAAAGGAAUUGACGGGGGGCCCGCACAAGCGGUGGAGCAUGUGGUUUAAUUCGAAGCAACGCGAAGAACCUUACCAGGUCUUGACAUCCUCUGACACUCCUAGAGAUAGGACUUUUCCCUUCGGGGAACAGAGUGACAGGUGGUGCAUGGUUGUCGUCAGCUCGUGUCGUGAGAUGUUGGGUUAAGUCCCGCAACGAGCGCAACCCUUGAUCUUAGUUGCCAGCAUUCAGUUGGGCACUCUAAGGUGGCUGCCGGUGACAAACCGGAGGAAGGUGGGGAUGACGUCAAAUCAUCAUGCCCCUUAUGACCUGGGCUACACACGUGCUACAAUGGAUGGUACAAAGGGCUGCAAGACCGCGAGGUUUAGCCAAUCCCAUAAAAACCAUUCUCAGUUCGGAUUGCAGG
RNAcentral lists this ribosomal RNA (531 nucleotides) under uncultured bacterium. RNAcentral describes it as "bacterial SSU rRNA". It matches the Rfam family "Bacterial small subunit ribosomal RNA", at positions 777 to 1304 of the family's 1533-position model. The record is from RNAcentral.